UGAUGUGAGGGCGAGUUGUCUGUCACAUCUGUCACCCCACUGAUUUGACUGAUCUGGCUGGCUAGACAGGUGUUCGCUUCCUCCCUCACCACUCCAUGUGCGUCCCAACCAAAGCUGUGCACUCAGUUGAAGAGGACAACCUUUCCGGAUAGGAGGACCGUCCUUCGGUUAAGGGUAUUUGAGUAGCUUUGCUCCCCCACUAGAACCUCCAAACAAGUCUCAUGGUCCUUUUGCUUUCUUUUUUAAACUUCCAUAUUUUUUUAAUCUUUCUGUAUUGUUUAAUAUUUUGACCAUAUCA
Molecule: small nuclear RNA, 298 nt
Filed under: Echinops telfairi (small Madagascar hedgehog)
Lineage: Eukaryota; Metazoa; Chordata; Mammalia; Afrosoricida; Tenrecidae
Description: 7SK RNA (ENSETEG00000024611.1)
Rfam family: 7SK RNA
About the family: 7SK was discovered as an abundant small nuclear RNA in the mid-70s but a possible function has only recently been suggested. Two independent studies have found that 7SK RNA binds the CDK9/cyclin T complex (known as elongation factor P-TEFb). P-TEFb activates transcription by phosphorylating the C-terminal domain of RNA polymerase II.
Source: RNAcentral